UACGUAGGGGGCAAGCGUUGUCCGGAUUUAUUGGGCGUAAAGAGCGUGUAGGCGGCUUUGCAAGUCCGUUGUGAAAACUCGAGGCUCAACCUCGAGACGCCGGUGGAAACUGCAAAGCUAGAGUCCGGAAGAGGAGAGUGGAAUUCCUGGUGUAGCGGUGAAAUGCGCAGAUAUCAGGAGGAACACCAAUUGCGAAGGCAGCUCGCUGGGACGUUACUGACGCUGAGACGCGAAAGCGUGGGGAGCAAACAGG
Molecule: ribosomal RNA, 253 nt
Filed under: uncultured bacterium
Lineage: Bacteria
Description: partial 16S ribosomal RNA
Rfam family: Bacterial small subunit ribosomal RNA
Source: RNAcentral